AGCGAACGUUAGCGGCAGGCCUAACACAUGCAAGUCGCGCGAGAAUGGGGCUUCGGCUCCUAGUAAAGCGGCGGACGGGUGAGUAACACGUGGAUAAUCUGCCCUUCGGCGGGGGACAACAGUCCGAAAGGAUUGCUAAUACCGCGUAAGUCGGCGAGGUCUUCGGAUCUUGUCGGGAAAGAUGGCCUCUUCAUGAAAGCUAUCACCGAAGGAUGAGUCCGCGUCCCAUCAGCUAGUUGGCGGUGUAAGAGACCACCAAGGCUAAGACGGGUAGCUGGUCUGAGAGGAUGAUCAGCCACACUGGAACUGAGACACGGUCCAGACUCCUACGGGAGGCAGCAGUGGGGAAUAUUGGGCAAUGGGCGCAAGCCUGACCCAGCCAUGCCGCGUGAGUGAUGAAGGCCUU
Molecule: ribosomal RNA, 406 nt
Filed under: uncultured bacterium
Lineage: Bacteria
Description: bacterial SSU rRNA
Rfam family: Bacterial small subunit ribosomal RNA
Source: RNAcentral